This 461-nucleotide ribosomal RNA is filed under the name uncultured bacterium. RNAcentral's name for it is "bacterial SSU rRNA". It matches the Rfam family "Bacterial small subunit ribosomal RNA", at positions 29 to 472 of the family's 1533-position model. The record is from RNAcentral.
AAUCAACGCUGGCGGCGUGCCUAACACAUGCAAGUCGAACGCGAAAGUCCCGCAAGGGAUAAGUAGAGUGGCAAACGGGUGAGUAACACGUGGGUGACCUGCCUUCGAGCGGGGGAUAACGUCCCGAAAGGGACGCUAAUACCGCAUGACAUCCUGCCUUUGAACAGGUGGAGAUCAAAGCCGGGGCUCGCAAGACCUGGCACUCGAAGAGGGGCCCGCGCCUGAUUAGCUAGUUGGUGGGGUAACGGCUCACCAAGGCAACGAUCAGUAGCCGGCCUGAGAGGGCGGACGGCCACACUGGGACUGAGACACGGCCCAGACUCCUACGGGAGGCAGCAGUGGGGAAUUGUUCGCAAUGGGCGCAAGCCUGACGACGCAACGCCGCGUGGAGGAUGAAGACCUUCGGGUCGUAAACUCCUUUCGAUCGAGACGAACGGCCUCCGGGUGAACAAUCCGGAGGA